GGGAGGAUUGCUUGAGCCCAGGAGUUCGAGACCUGCCUGGGCAAUAUAGCGAGACCCCGUUCUCCAGAAAAAGGAAAAAAAAAAAAAGACAAAAAAAAAAUAAGCGUAACAAUCUGAUUCUGAUCUCUAGUACACCUAAUUUCCAUUUCUUGCCCCUGCUUUACUCCAAAUACUGAUUUCCAUAUUUCCCAUACCAGCCUAAAUAUCAAACUUUUAAACUCAUGAUUGCUUGGUAGUGUGGUUCUGAUGCUGCUGCUUUUGCAUCCUGUCCUGAUCCACAUCCUUAGCACCUACCAUAAUGAUUCCCUGGAAAGAGUCAUUUCCCCUGAUAGAUGCUAAUUUUCCAUUUUGGUAGGCCUGGGCUGCCUACAAAAUGAGGUUCCCAAGAGGAAACAAGGAUGGCACUAAACUGGGCAAGUGUCUUCUGAUAUAUUGACCAUACAUGGCAAGUUGUUCGUGUCUAUGAAAAAAAUUGAUGCCCUUUGCCAGACUCCACUGAGCAACAGACAUAGCUAAGACUUAAUAAGUUCAUCAUUUUGAGGUUGGAAUCAGCCAUUAAGUACUUGUCUCUUCUUUCUGCUAUCUCUUACCUGAUAAUCAGUUACUAUAUAGUGAAUAUAGGAAUCUAAUGGCCGUAAUGAGGGCAAGCCUCAAGUUCUGUUGAAAACAAAUGAGAAGACCAAGGAGUUCUAAAUAUAUUUUUCCUUAAGAAAUGGUGUUUGUCAUUAUUUAAUAAAUCCCUUCAUUCCAUAUUUUGCAGGUGAUAAAACUGAGGCACAGUUAACUCACUUGCUCCUAGUCACAAAGCUAGUUAGAACCACAGCCAGGGCUAGAAGUUAGUGUUCUGAAUUCCUAUUCCAAUCCCACUGAAGAAUACUAUUCUCCUAUAUUAUAGGAUGAG
This 901-nucleotide long non-coding RNA is filed under the name Homo sapiens (human). RNAcentral describes it as "HSALNT0316743". The record is from RNAcentral. Lineage: Eukaryota; Metazoa; Chordata; Mammalia; Primates; Hominidae.